GAUUGUUUUAGCAAGCGGCGUAUAGCCCCGAGUGAAGUGUGAUCUCCAUAACUAGAGAACAUCGCUCGAGAACCACACAUCGCGUUAAAUCAUUCAUUGCAAGCAAUACCAAAAAAGGGAUCAUAUUUAACAACAAAAACAUUUCUUCCGCAUUCACAAAUCGUGUUUUUACGCGUUUGGGGUUUACAAAGAAAACGUCAGAGACGAAUGCUCAGUGCUUCGAGCACAGCAUUUCUGCCAAUCAGGGCAGAUCAAUUGUGAAAAGUAAAUAACAGCUGGCGCUGUGUGACCACGACCUGAAGAGGAAUGUUACACAUCAUAUUUAGAAGAAUUAAUUUGCCCUAAAGACUUCAAUAACAAAGAUUCGGGCAUGCCAGGCUUGCGGAAAGAACGACUACAUAACAACGAUUUAGCCCGUUUCAAGUACUGAGCCCAUGAUAUGCAUCGAUUGAGAUUGUGUCUAUAAUCGCCCCUUUGUUAACACAACUGGCAGGCCAAUUGCAUUGUAAAGACGUUUGGGAAAUGUUGUAUGUCUUUUAAUGCAAUCUUAUUGACAGCGUUAUUUACAGAUUGUGGAUUUUGUGGUUAUUACCUGGAAAUGCAACAACAUACUUUCGUGAAUUAAGUUAAAAUAAUUGGCGUUUGUUAAGUGACGCAUUUCAUUCACAGAUCCCACAAAUGCGCGU
Molecule: long non-coding RNA, 686 nt
Organism: Lethenteron reissneri (Far Eastern brook lamprey)
Lineage: Eukaryota; Metazoa; Chordata; Hyperoartia; Petromyzontiformes; Petromyzontidae
Source: RefSeq, a predicted model, not a curated record